RNAcentral lists this small RNA (178 nucleotides) under Gopherus agassizii (Agassiz's desert tortoise). RNAcentral describes it as "TUC338 (ENSGAGG00000016198.1)". Lineage: Eukaryota; Metazoa; Chordata; Testudines; Testudinidae. The record is from RNAcentral.
GAUGCCGAACCGCUAAUAUGAGUGUUUUGUUUAUUGAAAGAACAAGUUUGUGCAAGACUUAACAGUGUGAACUCCGACACUGUGUUGUGGCAAUAUGACGGAAACCCUGACCUAGAGGGACCACCUCUAGGGAUGAGAAAAUCAUUUCAUCUCCAUGUCCUUCAAGUCUUUGGUUUGU